CAUCCAUGCUGUUUGGGAAGCUUGAUGUGGAAUGGUAAGGAAGAAGAUCAAUCUUUGGAGCUUAGUUUGGAGGCUUUAGACGUUGCUGCCAUAAAAUAAGCAACAUAUGUUUUGUCCAAUUUGAUUGUUGCAGAUAAUUAUUUGUCACUAUUCAAUCUACUUUUGUUGAACAAGUGUACUCUAUUUUUACAUUAAUACAUAAAAGGCUGUUUGGGGUGUUCAUCUGCAAGUUUAAAUGUGGGUUGGUAGAUGAGUUACUGAUUUGGUGUUAAUUUUUAUCCCUAGUAGUUUGGUGCAGUAUGUUGUGAUUGACUUAUCAUGAUGAAUGUUACUGUAAUACUUGGGAUUUGACCAAGUAAAAAAGAAAUUCCGGGGCUUGUGAAAAAAAAAUAAAAAAAAAAUAAAAGAGAAGAGAAGGUUGAAAAGUCAACUAAACAAGGGAAGUGGACGUCGGCUUAAGGGGAUAAAAAAGAAAUGCUCGGCUCCCUCUUAAAUUGAGAGCUCAUGUAGAAAGAAAAUGGAGAGGAGAGAGAAAAAGAUCU
Molecule: long non-coding RNA, 542 nt
Filed under: Eucalyptus grandis
Lineage: Eukaryota; Viridiplantae; Streptophyta; Magnoliopsida; Myrtales; Myrtaceae
Description: long non-coding RNA (EGRA_LNC007964)
Source: RNAcentral